Molecule: ribosomal RNA, 420 nt
Filed under: uncultured bacterium
Lineage: Bacteria
Description: bacterial SSU rRNA
Rfam family: Bacterial small subunit ribosomal RNA
Source: RNAcentral
GAAUAUUGGUCAAUGGACGAAAGUCUGAACCAGCCAUGCCGCGUGGAGGAUGAAGGUCCUCUGGAUUGUAAACUUCUUUUAUCUGGGAAGAAAAAAGGGAAUUCUUUCCCGUCUGACGGUCCCAGAUGAAUAAGCACCGGCUAACUCCGUGCCAGCGGCCGCGGUAAUACGGAGGGUGCAAGCGUUAUCCGGAUUUACUGGGUUUAAAGGGUGCGUAGGCGGAUUGCCAAGUCCGUGGUGAAAUCUCCGGGCUUAACCCGGAAACUGCCAUGGAUACUGGUAAUCUUGAAUAUCGUGGAGGUAAGCGGAAUAUGUCAUGUAGCGGUGAAAUGCUUAGAUAUGACAUAGAACACCAAUUGCGAAGGCAGCUUACUACGCGAUAAUUGACGCUGAUGCACGAAAGCGUGGGGAUCAAACAGG